RNAcentral lists this ribosomal RNA (495 nucleotides) under uncultured bacterium. Its description in RNAcentral is "bacterial SSU rRNA". It matches the Rfam family "Bacterial small subunit ribosomal RNA", at positions 29 to 517 of the family's 1533-position model. The record is from RNAcentral.
AACGAACGCUGGCGGCGCGCCUAAUACAUGCAAGUCGAGCGAGAAGGUGUAGCAAUACACUUGUAAAGCGGCGAACGGGUGAGGAAUACAUGGGUAAUCUACCAUCGAGUGGGGAAUAACCAACCGAAAGGUUGGCUAAUACCGCGUACGCCUCCGGAUCUUCGGGUUCGGAGGGAAAGCUGCACUGUGAGUGUAGCGCUCUUUGAUGAGCUCAUGUCCUAUCAGCUUGUUGGUAGGGUAACGGCCUACCAAGGCUUUGACGGGUAGCUGGUCUGAGAGGACGAUCAGCCACACUGGCACUGCGACACGGGCCAGACUCCUACGGGAGGCAGCAGUAAGGAAUAUUGCGCAAUGGGCGAAAGCCUGACGCAGCGACGCCGCGUGGGGGAUGAAGGUCUUCGGAUUGUAAACCCCUUUCGGGAGGGAAGAUGGAACGAGCAAUCGUUCGGACGGUACCUCCAGAAGCAGCCACGGCCAACUUCGUGCCAGCAGCCG